Molecule: unclassified non-coding RNA, 435 nt
Filed under: Athalia rosae (coleseed sawfly)
Lineage: Eukaryota; Metazoa; Arthropoda; Insecta; Hymenoptera; Athaliidae
Description: misc RNA ENSAEAG00005011675.1
Source: RNAcentral
GAAUGACCGCAAUUAGUGGCAAUUCACGCAUCAGUCUUUUUUUUACUGAGGAUGACAUCGUUUUUCCAGAGUAUAAAGCCAGGUGAUUCUGUACCGGAAUUCCCAGUACUUCCAAAAGACUUCGUAGGAGAUUGUCAGAUCGCAACGCUCUCAACGAGCAGAAAGAAGUGUUCCUGACUUAAAAUGAGCAAGCGAAAAAGGGUAAUCUUGAAGUGAGUGAUCGGCGCUCAAUUAUCUUGGUAAAAGAUUCGGAUCUAGAUUCACCGUGGCUAUAGCCAAAGGGAGGGCUCCAAGAACCACCUGUUCGAUUUCAAGAGAACUGAACAUUAACAAUCUGUUACGUUCAAUCGAGCAUGAAAAUUAUAUCCUGAACAAUUUUACUUGUUCCUGCGGUCAUUAAUGGUAAUAAUGUUAAUAAUCGUAACAACAAUAACG